AAUUAAAGCUGCAAAAACUGGCAUAACAUCUCUAUAUGUAAGUUGACAAUAGAUAUAUGUUAGCUUCAGUUGCUUAUUGGCUUACGACCCUAACUAUGUCCAAUCUUCAGGACAAGUUUUGAGUCAGGUCAUAAAGGUGGAGGUGUAGAAACGAUUGCAAAUACAUCCUGAGUAUAUUUAUCUCACUUGAGGCGCUACUUUUGUGGUAAUCAUUAAUAACUUGUUGUCUCCUAAAAAUUUAUGCCAGCUAUAUAUACACCCCUUCAAGUUUUUAUGUUCUUCUGGGGAUGGCUCUGCUAGCAGCCUGGCAUGCUGUUGCUAGAUCAUUGUCAUUUUAGUUAUACUUUUGUGAAGAGAAUUAUGGGUCCUGAGUUUUAUCUUCCUCAGCUCUCCGUUGAAGGUGGCCCAAAAACUGGAGUUUACAUUGAGUACUUAACCCUGAACAUGAAAAUUGUAA
RNAcentral lists this long non-coding RNA (457 nucleotides) under Setaria viridis. Its description in RNAcentral is "long non-coding RNA (SVIR_LNC009365)". The record is from RNAcentral. Lineage: Eukaryota; Viridiplantae; Streptophyta; Magnoliopsida; Poales; Poaceae.